This 77-nucleotide transfer RNA is filed under the name Legionellales bacterium. RNAcentral's name for it is "tRNA-Arg". It matches the Rfam family "tRNA". From Rfam's summary of the family: Transfer RNA (tRNA) molecules are approximately 80 nucleotides in length. The record is from RNAcentral. Lineage: Bacteria; Pseudomonadati; Pseudomonadota; Gammaproteobacteria; Legionellales.
GUCCCCAUAGCGUAAUUGGAUAACGCAACUCCCUCCUAAGGAGUAGAUUACAGGUUCGACUCCUGUUGGGGACACUA